This 406-nucleotide ribosomal RNA is filed under the name uncultured bacterium. Its description in RNAcentral is "partial 16S ribosomal RNA". It matches the Rfam family "Bacterial small subunit ribosomal RNA", at positions 30 to 526 of the family's 1533-position model. The record is from RNAcentral.
AUUGAACGCUGGCGGCAGGCCUAACACAUGCAAGUCGAACGAGUGGCGGACGGGUGAGUAAUGUCUGGGAAACUGCCUGAUGGAGGGGGAUAACUACUGGAAACGGUAGCUAAUACCGCAUACCAUCGGAUGUGCCCAGAUGGGAUUAGUUAGUAGGGGGGGUAAAGGCUCACCUAGGCGACGAUCCCUAGCUGGUCUGAGAGGAUGACCAGCGCAAGUCGAACUAAGACACGGUCCAGAAUCCCACGGGGGGCAGCAGUGUGGAAUAUUGCACAAUGGGGUCAAGCCUGAUGCAGCAAUGCCGCGUUUAUGAAGCAGGCCUUCGGGUUGUAAAGUAGUUUCAGCGGGGAGGCGUUACCCGCAGAAGAAGCACCGGCUAACUCCGUGCCAUCAGCCGCGGUAAUUC